RNAcentral lists this long non-coding RNA (297 nucleotides) under Mytilus galloprovincialis (Mediterranean mussel). The record is from RNAcentral. Lineage: Eukaryota; Metazoa; Mollusca; Bivalvia; Mytilida; Mytilidae.
UUAAACAUGUUUAAGGUGGUAUUGGAGUCUAAAAUAAAAAUGAUAGAAUUUGUUCAUACUUUGCCAAAACGUUGUAUCUAUUGAUACAUGUUGAAAAAUAUAAUAAAAAUGAUAGGUCACCGCGCAUUUUCUCAAGCUACAGGACGGGACAAAAUGACACAUUUUGUAUGGAUUAUACAGGAAAAACACCAUUUUGUGAUUAGAAACUAAACAAAAUGAUAGAAUUGUUAAAUACUUCAGGAAAAGAUAGCUUUCAGACACUGCUUUGAGAAUAUCAAAAGAAAAGAUAGGGUCACC